RNAcentral lists this ribosomal RNA (217 nucleotides) under Turdus merula (blackbird). RNAcentral describes it as "partial 16S ribosomal RNA". Lineage: Eukaryota; Metazoa; Chordata; Aves; Passeriformes; Turdidae. The record is from RNAcentral.
UGUGGAACUUCAAAAUCAGCUGCCACCCCAAAAUACAUACACACCCACCGGGUUCACUUACACGUAAGCCACUGGCACGCAUUUUUUCGGUUGGGGCGACCUUGGAGAAAAACAAAUCCUCCAAAAAUUGGACCAUCACUCUAGACUAAGAGCAACCCCUCAAAGUGCUAACAGCAACCAGACCCAAUACAAUUGAUCAAUGGACCAAGCUACCCCA